UUGCAAUUAUAAUAACACUAUUGGGGGGGGGGGGUUCUUGACCAUGUUAUGUGUUUUGUUUGUUCUAUGCAAGGGCCUGUAAACAAUUCUUCUCGGUGGAACUCGAAACAGCCCCCCAAGUCGAUGGGGAGGCAGAGGAUGAUGAGGUUGGUGACCCAUUCCUCUUCGUGAAACGGCGGAAACAGAAGGCGACCACGCAGGUUGGAGUUGUAGCUGGAGUUGGCACAUCGUCUGCAGCAGCUGCCGAGGUUUUACAGGCUAUGGGGGUGCAUGAACUGAUGUAGAUUUUUGCACACAAUUCUAAGCUACAAAGUCACAUAUACUACUAUGUGGAAAGAUCAAAGGAAAAAAACACAUAUACUUCUUGUCUAGUUGAUAGUUAUAUUUUCAUUGUACCUACAAUAUGUUUUUUUCUUUUCUUUUUUUGCUACAGUGACACUGGUUCUUCUGCAUUAUGUGUGAAAUAAGACUCUAUAUGUGCUAUCUUAUAUAUAUUUGCAUAUUUUCUGUGUUUUGUUGCACACAUUGCUGCAAAAGUUGACUUGUCUUAUGAUCUAGUUGCACAAUAAUUAGUUAAAAUUGCAUAGGUACCGGAUCUCCCCAUUUUUUAUCCUUGUUUGUGUUGUCUUUUAAGUAUGAAGAAGCUAUUUUUCAAAGAGAAAUUUGGUGUGGGGGUGAAAGAGAAAGUCAAGGAGUGAGGAUCUGGACAUGAGGACAGAAGGAUCAACCUCUUUUUUCACCCUUGUUGGUGCUGCCUGGUACUUUCUAAUCUGUCCUCCCUCUUUCUUCUUUUUUUCGCAGCAAAUUGUUCCAUAGCAUUGUUAUUUCACCUUGAUUCAUCUGCCAUGGCAGCUCUGGCGAUGGAGAUCCAGAACUGGGAACCCCUUGUUUCGUGGAGAAGAAGCUAGGUGGGGGCAGGUAGGGGCAUGGGGAGAAGGUUGGUGGCCAAGAGGGCGUGAGAGCUUCGAGUGCUUCAGGAGGGGAGGGAAGGCCAUGUGAUGGCCUGGGGACUGCGUCUUGUGUGUAGUUUGUUGGGUUGGUGUGGGUCUGUAGCUGGAUUUCCUUUUCUGAGGUCAGGGGGACCGAAUCUUUCCUUUUCUGGUGGUGGCCGCUCGGGAGCGCUAGGGAGCAGCUGGCCGCUCCCUAGACGCGUCCAUUAUUAUAAAGUGACGAAUCUUGGUUGCGGAUUUA
Non-coding RNA from Aegilops tauschii subsp. strangulata, 1191 nucleotides. Lineage: Eukaryota; Viridiplantae; Streptophyta; Magnoliopsida; Poales; Poaceae. The record is from RefSeq and is a predicted model, not a curated record.